Molecule: long non-coding RNA, 435 nt
Filed under: Lactuca sativa (garden lettuce)
Lineage: Eukaryota; Viridiplantae; Streptophyta; Magnoliopsida; Asterales; Asteraceae
Description: long non-coding RNA (LSAT_LNC006457)
Source: RNAcentral
CGUUCCGUUAGUGAAAAUGGGAUUUGUAACGGAAAUAGAUNAAAACGGGAUUUGUAACGGGAAUAGAUUUGGGGUUGUCACAUCUCAGGAGGAGCCAACCGAUACAGUGCCUUGGCUAUCGAAGCCACACCAGGAACGAGGUCAAUCCUGAACUCCACCUGUCUCUCAGGAGGUAUCCCAGGAAGUUCCUCUGGGAAAACAUCUACGAAAUCUCGCACUACCAGAACCUCGCUCACUGUCGCCUCACCCGCCUCCCGGGUAUCCAUCACGUACGCAACAUACCCUGCGCAUCCCUGCUGAAGGUAGCAUCUAGCCCUCGCUGCUGAACAUACUGUGGGUCCACACUGUGGCCUCUCGCAAUGAAUCACUAACUCUCCCCCACCUGGGGUCCUGACCCGCACUAGCUGUUGCGCACAGUCUAUCACCGCCUCAUUA